UGGGGAAUUUUGGACAAUGGGCGAAAGCCUGAUCCAGCAAUGCCGCGUGUGUGAAGAAGGCCUUCGGGUUGUAAAGCACUUUUGUCCGGAAAGAAAUCCUUGGCUCUAAUACAGUCGGGGGAUGACGGUACCGGAAGAAUAAGCACCGGCUAACUACGUGCCAGCAGCCGCGGUAAUACGUAGGGUGCAAGCGUUAAUCGGAAUUACUGGGCGUAAAGCGUGCGCAGGCGGUUUGCUAAGACCGAUGUGAAAUCCCCGGGCUCAACCUGGGAACUGCAUUGGUGACUGGCAGGCUAGAGUAUGGCAGAGGGGGGUAGAAUUCCACGUGUAGCAGUGAAAUGCGUAGAGAUGUGGAGGAAUACCGAUGGCGAAGGCAGCCCCCCUGGGGCCAAUACUGACGCUCAUGCACGAAAGCGUGGGGAGCAAACAGGAUUAGAUACCCUGGUAGUCCACGCCCUAAACGAUGUCAACUAGUUGUUGGGGAUUCAUUUCCUUAGUAACGUAGCUAACGCGUGAAGUUGACCG
Molecule: ribosomal RNA, 525 nt
Filed under: uncultured bacterium
Lineage: Bacteria
Description: partial 16S ribosomal RNA
Rfam family: Bacterial small subunit ribosomal RNA
Source: RNAcentral